UACGGAGGGUGCGAGCGUUAAUCGGAAUUACUGGGCGUAAAGCGUGCGUAGGCGGUUCGUUAAGUCAGAUGUGAAAGCCCCGGGCUCAACCUGGGAACUGCAUUUGAAACUGGCGGGCUUGAGUAUGGCAGAGGGGGGUGGAAUUCCGCGUGUAGCAGUGAAAUGCGUAGAGAUGCGGAGGAACACCGAUGGCGAAGGCAGCCCCCUGGGCCAAUACUGACGCUCAGGCACGAAAGCGUGGGGAGCAAACAGG
This 253-nucleotide ribosomal RNA is filed under the name uncultured bacterium. RNAcentral's name for it is "partial 16S ribosomal RNA". It matches the Rfam family "Bacterial small subunit ribosomal RNA", at positions 524 to 776 of the family's 1533-position model. The record is from RNAcentral.